This 73-nucleotide transfer RNA is filed under the name Candidatus Woesearchaeota archaeon. RNAcentral describes it as "tRNA-Val". It matches the Rfam family "tRNA". Rfam says of the family: Transfer RNA (tRNA) molecules are approximately 80 nucleotides in length. Their secondary structure includes four short double-helical elements and three loops (D, anti-codon, and T loops). The record is from RNAcentral. Lineage: Archaea; Nanobdellati; Candidatus Woesearchaeota.
GGACCGGUAGUUUAGCGGUUAUAACGCCUCGUUUACACCGAGGAGGUCGGCGGUUCAAAUCCGCCCCGGUCCA